Molecule: ribosomal RNA, 902 nt
Filed under: Russula eildonensis
Lineage: Eukaryota; Fungi; Basidiomycota; Agaricomycetes; Russulales; Russulaceae
Description: LSU rRNA
Rfam family: Eukaryotic large subunit ribosomal RNA
Source: RNAcentral
CCCCUAGUANCUGCGAGUGAGCGGGAAAAGCUCAAAUUUAAAAUCUGGUGGUCUUUGGCCAUCCGAGUUGUAAUUUAGAGAAGCGUUUUCCGCGCUGGACCGUGCACAAGUCUCCUGGAAUGGAGCGUCAUAGAGGGUGAGAAUCCCGUCUUUGGCAUGGACGCACCAGGGCUUCUGUGAUGCGCUCUCGAAGAGUCGAGUUGUUUGGGAAUGCAGCUCAAAAUGGGUGGUGAACUCCAUCUAAAGCUAAAUAUUGGCGAGAGACCGAUAGCGAACAAGUACCGUGAGGGAAAGAUGAAAAGCACUUUGGAAAGAGAGUGAAACAGUACGUGAAAUUGUUGAAAGGGAAACGCUUGAAGUCAGUCGUGUCGACCGAGACUCAGCCUCGCCUCGGCUUGGUGUACUUCUCGGCCGACGGGUCAGCAUCAAUUUCGCCCCUUGGAUAAUGGUGAGGGAAAUGUGACACCUUUAUGGUGUGUUAUAGUCUCUUGUCGGAUGCGAGGGUCGGGAUUGAGGAACUCAGCACGCGCCUUGAGCGUCGGGGUCUUCACCCACGAUACGUGCUUAGGAUGUUGGCAUAAUGGCUUUAAACGACCCGUCUUGAAACACGGACCAAGGAGUCUAACAUGCCCGCGAGUGUUCGGGUGGAAAACCCGUGCGCGCAAUGAAAGUGAAAGUUGGGACCUCCGUCGUGGAGGGCACCGAUGCCCGGACCAGACCUUCUGUGACGGCUCUGCGGUAGAGCGUGUAUGUUAGGACCCGAAAGAUGGUGAACUAUGCCUGAAUAGGGUGAAGCCAGAGGAAACUCUGGUGGAGGCUCGUAGCGAUUCUGACGUGCAAAUCGAUCGUCAAAUUUGGGUAUAGGGGCGAAAGACUAAUCGAACCAUCUAGUAGCUGGUCUG